Molecule: transfer RNA, 84 nt
Filed under: Opitutales bacterium
Lineage: Bacteria; Pseudomonadati; Verrucomicrobiota; Opitutia; Opitutales
Also listed under: 1 other name
Description: tRNA-Tyr
Rfam family: tRNA
About the family: Transfer RNA (tRNA) molecules are approximately 80 nucleotides in length. Their secondary structure includes four short double-helical elements and three loops (D, anti-codon, and T loops).
Source: RNAcentral
GGUGGGGUAUCCAAGAGGCCAAAGGACGCGGACUGUAAAUCCGUUCAGCUACGCUGUUCGUGGGUUCGACCCCCACCCCCACCA